Molecule: ribosomal RNA, 450 nt
Filed under: uncultured Archaeospora
Lineage: Eukaryota; Fungi; Glomeromycota; Glomeromycetes; Archaeosporales; Archaeosporaceae
Description: SSU rRNA
Rfam family: Eukaryotic small subunit ribosomal RNA
Source: RNAcentral
AGCAGCCGCGGUAAUUCCAGCUCCAAUAGCGUAUAUUAAAGUUGUUGCAGUUAAAAAGCUCGUAGUUGAAUUUUGGAUUCUACCAUUUGGUCCAUCUUUUAGAUGAGUACUGAAUGUGUGGGGUCUAUCCGCCUGAUAAUACGUAAUGUUCUUUAUUGAAUGUUACGGGUAGUCAGGACUUUUACCUUGAAAAAAUUAGAGUGUUUAAAGCAGGCUUAUGCCGGAAUACAUUAGCAUGGAAUAAUAGAAUAGGACGAAGUUGUUUUAUUUUGUUGGUUUUUAGGACAACCGUAAUGAUUAAUAGGGAUAGUUGGGGGCAUUAGUAUUCAAUUGUCAGAGGUGAAAUUCUUGGAUUUAUUGAAGACUAACUACUGCGAAAGCAUUUGCCAAGGAUGUUUUCAUUAAUCAAGAACGAAAGUUAGGGGAUCGAAGACGAUCAGAUACCGUCGU